CCAAGCCAAUUAGGUGCCAACUCUUGGCUAACCUAUAUUAGAAUAUGAUCUAAUCAAAUUAGAUCAAUUAAGAAUCAGAUUCGAAUCCAAUUCGAAUCAGAUUCGAAUCCAAUUCGAAUCAGAUUCGAAUCCAAUUCGAAUUAGGAGCUAAAGUUUGCAACACCUGCUAGGAUGUUUAUCUUGCAAACAUGAUCUAAUCCAAUUAGAUCCUUGAUAAGUUUUCUUGUGUGUGACCCAUUGGGUUCCAUACUUAGCCAGCAAUAGGUGUGAGUGCGAGUUGACCCAACUUGAUUAGAACUCUUCUAAUCGAAUUAAGUCCAAACUGCGCGAAUCUGAACUUAACAAUUAGAAUCCUUUCUAAUUGGUGAUCGAAUUAAACUCUUUAAUUUGAUCAAACCUAUAAAACAAGAUUGACGCCUAGCAACGUGUCAUGUCUACCUGGAAAAUAUGGAAUUUGGUGGACAUACCAAAAAUACCCUUCAGUGGCAAGUUACCAUGCAAUUCAAUCCUCUAAUCAAACUGCAUCCCAAAUAUGUAUAUGAGUAUGAAUAUAUGUCAAACUCAAUUUCAUAUUCAUAUUUUUCUCAAUCUUUUAAUGAUAAUUCAAAUAAUAAAACAUUAGAAACUAUUUCUAAUUUUCAUUCUGCUUUGAUCAAAGGCUUCCUGAAUUAUCAUAUGAUUAGAAUAAAUAGGAUGCUAUCUUCUCUUACUAGAAGUGAUUAAUUUCUUGUUGACCUACUCAUAAUCUUCGUACACAAUUCACCAUAUCCAGAAGACCUCGUACAUAACUUAUUGUCAUGAAUGAGUGUAAACCAAAAUAUGGGUUUAUGUGCACAAGAUACCAUGGUGAUCUCAGGUCAUAGGAUCAGUUGCACAACUCCCACUAAGAGAAUCAUCUUUUGACAUGUAAGUAAGUCUUCAUAAGAUUUCUCUUUGUAGGUCAAUUCAGUGAACUCAUUCCUCUAAUGAGCACCCACAU
RNAcentral lists this long non-coding RNA (979 nucleotides) under Phoenix dactylifera (date palm). RNAcentral's name for it is "long non-coding RNA (PDAC_LNC016568)". The record is from RNAcentral. Lineage: Eukaryota; Viridiplantae; Streptophyta; Magnoliopsida; Arecales; Arecaceae.